Molecule: ribosomal RNA, 855 nt
Filed under: uncultured marine bacterium
Lineage: Bacteria
Description: bacterial SSU rRNA
Rfam family: Bacterial small subunit ribosomal RNA
Source: RNAcentral
AGAGUUUGAUCCUGGCUCAGAACGAACGCUGGCGGCAUGCUAACACAUGCAAGUCGAACGCUAUUUAUAGAGUGGCGCACGGGUGAGUAACGCGUGGGAACCUGCCUUUUUCUGCGGGAUAACGGUUGGAAACGACCGCUAAUACCGCAUACGCCCUACGGGGGAAAGGUCCGCCGGAGAAAGAGGGGCCCGCGUCUGAUUAGCUAGUUGGUGGGGUAACGGCCUACCAAGGCGACGAUCAGUAGCUGGUCUGAGAGGAUGAUCAGCCACACUGGGACUGAGACACGGCCCAGACUCCUACGGGAGGCAGCAGUGGGGAAUAUUGGACAAUGGGGGCAACCCUGAUCCAGCAAUGCCGCGUGUGUGAUGAAGGCCUUAGGGUUGUAAAGCACUUUCACUGGUGAAGAUGAUGACGGUAACCAGAGAAGAAGCCCCGGCUAACUUCGUGCCAGCAGCCGCGGUAAUACGAAGGGGGCGAGCGUUGUUCGGAAUUACUGGGCGUAAAGGGCGCGUAGGCGGUCUUUUAAGUUAGGCGUGAAAUCCCCGGGCUCAACCUGGGAACUGCGCUUAAGACUGGAAGACUAGAAAACGGAAGAGGGUAGUGGAAUUCCCAGUGUAGAGGUGAAAUUCGUAGAUAUUGGGAAGAACACCAGUGGCGAAAGCGGCUACCUGGUCCGAUUUUGACGCUGAGGCGCGAAAGCGUGGGGAGCAAGCAGGAUUAGAUACCCUGGUAGUCCACGCCGUAAACGAUGUCUGCUAGAUGUCGGGGGGUUGCCCCUCGGUGUCGCCGCUAACGCAUUAAGCAGACCGCCUGGGAAGUACGGUCGCAAGAUUAAAACUCAAAGGAAUUGACGG